This 494-nucleotide ribosomal RNA is filed under the name uncultured bacterium. RNAcentral describes it as "partial 16S ribosomal RNA". It matches the Rfam family "Bacterial small subunit ribosomal RNA", at positions 28 to 507 of the family's 1533-position model. The record is from RNAcentral.
GAUGAACGCUGGCGGCGUGCUUAACACAUGCGAGUCGAACGAAGCACCUCUCCCGAAGAUUGACACAGCUUGCUGUAGAUUGAUUCAUUUGAGGUGACUGAGCGGCGGACGGGUGAGUAACGCGUGGGUAACCUGCCUCAUAGAGGGGGACAACAGUUGGAAACGACUGCUACUACCGCAUAGUAAGAAGAAUUCGCAUGUUUUCUUCUUGAAAGAUUAUCGCUAUGAGAUGGACCCGCGUCUGAUUAGCUAGUUGGUAAGGUAACGGCUUACCAAGGCGACGAUCAGUAGCCGGCUUGAGAGAGUGAACGGCCACAUUGGGACUGAGACACGGCCCAAACUCCUACGGGAGGCAGCAGUGGGGAAUAUUGCACAAUGGGGGAAACCCUGAUGCAGCGACGCCGCGUGAGUGAAGAAGUAUUUCGGUAUGUAAAGCUCUAUCAGCAGGGAAGAUAAUGACGGUACCUGACUAAGAAGCCCCGGCUAACUACGUG